Molecule: ribosomal RNA, 325 nt
Filed under: uncultured eukaryote
Lineage: Eukaryota
Description: partial 18S ribosomal RNA
Rfam family: Eukaryotic small subunit ribosomal RNA
Source: RNAcentral
CCCUUAGAUGUUCUGGGCCGCACGCGCGCUACACUGAUGCAUUCAACGAGCCUAUCCUUGACCGACAGGUCCGGGUAAUCUUUGAAUCUGCAUCGUGCCGGGGAUAGAUUAUUGCAAUUAUUAAUCUUCAACGAGGAAUGCCUAGUAGGCGCAAGUCAUCAGCUUGCGUCGAUUACGUCCCUGCCCUUUGUACACACCGCCCGUCGCUCCUACCGAUUGGGUGUGCUGGUGAAAUGUUCGGAUCGGCCGUUUGUCGCGGUUUCCGCGGCUCGUGGCUGAGAAGUUCAUUAAACCCUCCCACCGAGAGGAAGGAGAAGUCGUAACA